GCGCCCGUAGCUCAGCUGGAUAGAGCGUUGGCCUCCGGAGCCAAAGGUCACAGGUUCGACUCCUGUCGGGCGCA
This 74-nucleotide transfer RNA is filed under the name Kofleriaceae bacterium. It matches the Rfam family "tRNA". Rfam says of the family: Transfer RNA (tRNA) molecules are approximately 80 nucleotides in length. RNAcentral also lists the same sequence under 1 other name. The record is from Rfam by way of RNAcentral. Lineage: Bacteria; Pseudomonadati; Myxococcota; Haliangiales; Kofleriaceae.